RNAcentral lists this ribosomal RNA (196 nucleotides) under uncultured crenarchaeote. RNAcentral's name for it is "partial 16S ribosomal RNA". It matches the Rfam family "Archaeal small subunit ribosomal RNA", at positions 483 to 679 of the family's 1478-position model. Lineage: Archaea; Thermoproteati; Thermoproteota. The record is from RNAcentral.
CCGAAGUGGUGUGGAUGUUUAUUGGGCCUAAAGCAUCCGUAGCUGGCUAGGUAAGUCCCUUGUUAAAUCCACCGAAUUAAUCGUUGGAUCGCGGGGGAUACUGCUUGGCUAGGGGACGAGAGAGGCAGACGGUAUUUUCGGGGUAGGGGUGAAAUCCUAUAAUCCCGGGAAGACCACCAGUGGCGAAGGCUGUCGG